This 406-nucleotide ribosomal RNA is filed under the name uncultured bacterium. Its description in RNAcentral is "partial 16S ribosomal RNA". It matches the Rfam family "Bacterial small subunit ribosomal RNA", at positions 30 to 526 of the family's 1533-position model. The record is from RNAcentral.
AUUGAACGCUGGCGGCAUGCCUAACACAUGCAAGUCGAACGAGUGGCGGACGGGUGAGUAAUGUCUCGGAAACUGCCUGAUGGCGGGGGAUAACUACUGGAAACGGUAGCUAAUACCGCAUACCAUCAGAUCUGCCCAUAUCGGAGUAGCUUGUUGGUGGGGUAACGGCUCACCAAGGCGACGAUCCCUAGCUGGUCUGAGAGGAUGACCAGCCACACUGGAACUGAGACACGGCCCAGACUCCUACGGGAGGCAGCAGGGGGGAAUAUUGGACAAUGGGGGCAAGCCUGAUGCAGCCAUGCCGCGUGUAUGAAGAAGGCCUUCGGGUUGUAAAGUACUUUCAGCGGGGAGGCGUUACCCGCAGAAGAAGCACCGGCUAACUACGUGCCAGCAGCCGCGGUAAUUC